RNAcentral lists this ribosomal RNA (956 nucleotides) under Paenarthrobacter nitroguajacolicus. RNAcentral describes it as "bacterial SSU rRNA". It matches the Rfam family "Bacterial small subunit ribosomal RNA", at positions 34 to 1001 of the family's 1533-position model. Lineage: Bacteria; Bacillati; Actinomycetota; Actinomycetes; Micrococcales; Micrococcaceae. The record is from RNAcentral.
CGCUGGCGGCGUGCUUAACACAUGCAAGUCGAACGAUGAUCCCAGCUUGCUGGGGGAUUAGUGGCGAACGGGUGAGUAACACGUGAGUAACCUGCCCUUGACUCUGGGAUAAGCCUGGGAAACUGGGUCUAAUACCGGAUACGACCAUCUGGCGCAUGUCAUGGUGGUGGAAAGCUUUUGUGGUUUUGGAUGGACUCGCGGCCUAUCAGCUUGUUGGUGGGGUAAUGGCCUACCAAGGCGACGACGGGUAGCCGGCCUGAGAGGGUGACCGGCCACACUGGGACUGAGACACGGCCCAGACUCCUACGGGAGGCAGCAGUGGGGAAUAUUGCACAAUGGGCGCAAGCCUGAUGCAGCGACGCCGCGUGAGGGAUGACGGCCUUCGGGUUGUAAACCUCUUUCAGUAGGGAAGAAGCGAAAGUGACGGUACCUGCAGAAGAAGCGCCGGCUAACUACGUGCCAGCAGCCGCGGUAAUACGUAGGGCGCAAGCGUUAUCCGGAAUUAUUGGGCGUAAAGAGCUCGUAGGCGGUUUGUCGCGUCUGCUGUGAAAGACCGGGGCUCAACUCCGGUUCUGCAGUGGGUACGGGCAGACUAGAGUGCAGUAGGGGAGACUGGAAUUCCUGGUGUAGCGGUGAAAUGCGCAGAUAUCAGGAGGAACACCGAUGGCGAAGGCAGGUCUCUGGGCUGUAACUGACGCUGAGGAGCGAAAGCAUGGGGAGCGAACAGGAUUAGAUACCCUGGUAGUCCAUGCCGUAAACGUUGGGCACUAGGUGUGGGGGACAUUCCACGUUUUCCGCGCCGUAGCUAACGCAUUAAGUGCCCCGCCUGGGGAGUACGGCCGCAAGGCUAAAACUCAAAGGAAUUGACGGGGGCCCGCACAAGCGGCGGAGCAUGCGGAUUAAUUCGAUGCAACGCGAAGAACCUUACCAAGGCUUGACAUGAACCGGAAAGACCU